GACGAACGCUGGCGGUGUGCUUAACACAUGCCAGUCGAACGGUAAGGCCCUUUCGGGGGUACACGAGUGGCGAACGGGUGAGUAACACGUGAGUAACCUGCCCUCAUCUCUGGGAUAACAGUCGGAAACGGUUGCUAAUACUGGAUAUGAGCUUGCAAGGCAUCUUGUGGGUUGGAAAGAUUUUUUUGGUUGGGGAUGGACUCGCGGCCUAUCAGCUUGUUGGUGAGGUAGUGGCUCACCAAGGCUUCGACGGGUAGCCGGCCUGAGAGGGCGACCGGCCACACUGAGACUGAGAUGCGGCCCAAGCUCCUACGGGAGGCAGCAGUGGGGAAUAUUGCACAAGCGACGGAAGUCUGAUGCAGCAACGCCGCGUGCGGGAUGACGCUCUUCGGGUUGUAAACCGCUUUCAAUUGUGACGAAGCUUUUUGUGACGGUAGCAGUAGAAGAAGCACCGGCUAACUACGUG
Molecule: ribosomal RNA, 466 nt
Filed under: uncultured bacterium
Lineage: Bacteria
Description: partial 16S ribosomal RNA
Rfam family: Bacterial small subunit ribosomal RNA
Source: RNAcentral